RNAcentral lists this ribosomal RNA (248 nucleotides) under uncultured bacterium. RNAcentral describes it as "partial 16S ribosomal RNA". It matches the Rfam family "Bacterial small subunit ribosomal RNA", at positions 529 to 776 of the family's 1533-position model. The record is from RNAcentral.
AGGGUGCGAGCGUUAAUCGGAAUUACUGGGCGUAAAGCGUGCGUAGGCGGUUCGUUAAGUUCGUUGUGAAAGCCCCGGGCUCAACCUGGGAACUGCAAUGGAAACUGGCGGGCUUGAGUGUGGCAGAGGGGGGUGGAAUUCCGCGUGUAGCAGUGAAAUGCGUAGAGAUGCGGAGGAACACCGGUGGCGAAGGCGGGUCUCUGGGCCGAUAUUGACGCUGAGGAGCGAAAGCGUGGGGAGCAAACAGG